RNAcentral lists this unclassified non-coding RNA (331 nucleotides) under soil metagenome. RNAcentral's name for it is "partial contains 5.8S ribosomal RNA, internal transcribed spacer 2, and large subunit ribosomal RNA". The stretch from base 1 to 120 matches the Rfam family "5.8S ribosomal RNA", at positions 35 to 154 of the family's 154-position model. The record is from RNAcentral.
GAUGAAGAACGCAGCGAAAUGCGAUAAGUAAUGUGAAUUGCAGAAUUCAGUGAAUCAUCGAAUCUUUGAACGCACAUUGCGCCCCCUGGUAUUCCGGGGGGCAUGCCUGUUCGAGCGUCAUUUCACCACUCAAGCCUCGCUUGGUAUUGGGCAACGCGGUCCGCCGCGUGCCUCAAAUCGACCGGCUGGGUCUUCUGUCCCCUAAGCGUUGUGGAAACUAUUCGCUAAAGGGUGUUCGGGAGGCUACGCCGUAAAACAACCCCAUUUCUAAGGUUGACCUCGGAUCAGGUAGGGAUACCCGCUAAACUUAAGCAUAUCAAUAAGCGGAGGA